AGUGAACGUGGCCUUGGUUUACCCGCCCACUCCCACCGUCGCCAGCCCUUGUUCCAAGUAACGUGACGGCCCUGGURCCGGAGGUUUUUCCGCUUUGGACUCCGAGCAGCUGCGGGGCCCAGACGGUUCCCGGGGUGCCCGGAGGCCGAAGACGGCGAGGCACGAGGUGAAGCGGCCGUGGCAGGGAGGGCGCUCUGGGGGCGACGCUCUGCGCACCACGUGUGUGAAAAGCCACUUGGAUCUCACGGUGACUGGGAAGGUGUCCUUGGCACCACUUCAUUCACACCUGCUCGGGAGGGAGCCUCUUGGAACAAGCUGCAGCAGCACGGGCCGGAUUUGCUCCAGAUGAGAGGAAGCUCACACUUUGCUGCUGUGACGCGGCGUGGAGGAAGGAAGCGGCACAGCGGAUCCUCUCCGGGCCCGUUUGCCACUGCGCCCGCUCCCACGGAUGGAGCGCCGACGGAGUGGGGGGACGGAGCAGCCCUGGGACCACAGCGCCCGGCAGGAUCUCUCAGUGGCACCGCCAGCCASGCCGAGAUGGGGAUCGCUUAUCCGCCCGCUGUUCAGGAACUGGCCUAACUGCGGUUCCAUCCUUUUUUUUUUUUUUUAAAUAUGUGAAAACUACUUGAUUUUCUACGCAGUCCAAAGCGGCCCCGCUCACGUGAGCUGUGCCGAGGGGUGGCGGGGGCUUUCGGCGUUGCCGCUGUGCCGCGAGGCUGCCAGGGGCCUCAUGCCCAAGGCCUGGUGCUGCAGGAGUGCGCGGUGGGAUUUACUCGUCCCCUUUGAGGAUCGGUCGCUGGCCAUGGGGAGGAGAGGACUCCAAGAAUCCAGGCGCGCAGCCCUCGCGCUGCUCCUGUCCCCGUUCAGGGCACCGURCGUCUCCCACCAGAGCCAGCUGCGAGUUUAGCUCCUCCUGAACGUGG
Molecule: long non-coding RNA, 923 nt
Organism: Nothoprocta perdicaria
Lineage: Eukaryota; Metazoa; Chordata; Aves; Tinamiformes; Tinamidae
Exons: 3
Source: RefSeq, a predicted model, not a curated record